GGACUACUGGGGUAUCUAAUCCCGUUCGCUCCCCUGGCUUUCGCGUCUCAGCGUCAGAAAGGGUCCAGGCGCUCGCUUUCGCCGCGGGCGUUCCUCACGAUCUCAACGCAUUUCACCGCUCCACCGUGAGUUCCAGCGCCCCCUACCCCCCUCCAGCCCGGCCGUAUCGGCGCCCCUUCCCCGGUUGAGCCGGGGGAUUUCAGCGUCCGACGCGCCGGGCCGCCUACACGCGCUUUAAGCCCAGUGAUUCCGAAUAACGUUCGCACGGUUCGUCUUACCGCGGCGGCUGGCAC
This 293-nucleotide ribosomal RNA is filed under the name uncultured bacterium. Its description in RNAcentral is "partial 16S ribosomal RNA". The record is from RNAcentral. RNAcentral also lists the same sequence under 2 other names.